UAAGACGAACCGUGCGAACGUUGUUCGGAAUCACUGGGCUUAAAGGGCGCGUAGGCGGGCGGCCAAGUCAGGGGUGAAAUCUUUCGGCUCAACCGGAAAACAGCUUCUGAUACUGGUCGUCUUGAGCGAGGUAGGGGCAUGUGGAACUUCCGGUGGAGCGGUGAAAUGCGUAGAUAUCGGAAGGAACGCCGGUGGCGAAAGCGGCGUGCUGGACCUCUUCUGACGCUGAGGCGCGAAAGCUAGGGGAGCAAACGGGAUUAGAUACCCCGGUAGUCCUAGCCCUAAACGUUGGGUACUAGAUUGUGGACUAAUCAUGGGUUCACAGUCGAAGCAAAAGUGUUAAGUACCCCGCCUGGGGAGUAUGGUCGCAAGGCUG
RNAcentral lists this ribosomal RNA (376 nucleotides) under uncultured bacterium. RNAcentral's name for it is "bacterial SSU rRNA". It matches the Rfam family "Bacterial small subunit ribosomal RNA", at positions 521 to 896 of the family's 1533-position model. The record is from RNAcentral.